GGUUCAGGACGAACGCUGGCGGCGUGCCUAACACAUGCAAGUCGAGCGGGGACAUACGACGGAAAGGAAGUUUCGGACGGAAUUGAAGAUGUAUGUUCUAGCGGCGGACGGGUGAGUAACGCGUGAGCAACCUGUCCUUCACAGGGGGAUAACACAGCGAAAGUUGUACUAAUACCGCAUAAGACCACGGGACCGCAUGGUUUUGAGGUCAAAGGAGCAAUCCGGUGAAGGGUGGGCUCGCGUCCGAUUAGAUAGUUGGUGAGGUAACGGCCCACCAAGUCGACGAUCGGUAGCCGACCUGAGAGGGUGAUCGGCCACAUUGGGACUGAGACACGGCCCAAACUCCUACGGGAGGCAGCAGUGGGAAUAUUGGGCAAUGGGGGGAACCCUGACCCAGCAACGCCGCGUGAGGGAAGAAGGUUUUCGGAUCGUAAACCUCUGUCCUUGGUGAAGAGGAAGAGACGGUAGCCAAGGAGGAAGCCCCGGCUAACUACGUGCCAGCAGCCGC
This 508-nucleotide ribosomal RNA is filed under the name uncultured bacterium. RNAcentral describes it as "bacterial SSU rRNA". It matches the Rfam family "Bacterial small subunit ribosomal RNA", at positions 21 to 518 of the family's 1533-position model. The record is from RNAcentral.